AGUGAACGCUGGCGGUAGGCCUAACACAUGCAAGUCGAACGGCAGCACAGUAAGAGCUUGCUCUUACGGGUGGCGAGUGGCGGACGGGUGAGGAAUACAUCGGCAUCUACUUUUUCGUGGGGGAUAACGUAAGGAAACUUACGCUAAUACCGCAUACUACCUACGGGAUGAAGCAGGGGAUCUUCGGACCUUGCGCGAUUGAAUUAGCCGAUGUCGGAUUAGCUAGUUGGCUAGGUAAAGGCCCACCAAGGCGACGAUCCGUAGCUGGUCUGAGAGGAUGAUCAGCCACACUGGAACUGAGACACGGUCCAGACUCCUACGGGAGGCAGCAGCGGGGAAUAUUGGGCAAUGGGCGAAAGCCUGAUCCAGCCAUACCGCGUGAGUGAUGAAGGCCUUCGGGUUGUAAAGCCCUUUUGUUGGGAAAGAAAAGCAGCAGGUUAAUACCCCGCUGUUCUGACGGUACCCAAAGAAUAAGCACCGGCUAACUUCGUG
RNAcentral lists this ribosomal RNA (492 nucleotides) under uncultured bacterium. Its description in RNAcentral is "partial 16S ribosomal RNA". It matches the Rfam family "Bacterial small subunit ribosomal RNA", at positions 29 to 507 of the family's 1533-position model. The record is from RNAcentral.